CUGCACCUUGCUCAAGCUGUUUUCGCUCCGGGACGAUCACACUUUUUCACAGCUCAGAUUGGCAUGUUGGUGAACUUAUUAGCUUAGAUUUCACGUUAUUCAUGCCUACAUGAGCUGCAUACAACUGCUCUAAUCGGUAGGAUGUGGACGGACAUUGCAUUCAUUCCCAUUCAGCCGUUGGACUGAACCUGUACUGUCUGUAACACAGUAUGGAUGGUCAAUAUGAAGCGAGCUUCAUUGAAUUCCUCCAAGAGCUCUGUACUCCGUUCUGACCAUUUUGAAGAUGGUUGCUUUGACAGGACUGGGCAAGUGACUCGUCUUAGACAGGAUGCUGUCCCAACCAUGUUUGAUUUCCUGCCUCGUCUUCAGAAGAAUUCACCCAAGCCAAGGAAUUCCCCGAAAGAAAGACGUUUUGAUUCAGCAAACAACCUCCCAGAUACUGCAAAGUCUUCAGCACCUUCAUUUCUCGAGGACCACUCCUACUCAAUAUCAGAAAGUCCAAGAGAGGUAAAGUGGAAGAUAACAGCAAUAAUGGACUGUAUUAAGAACUUGGAGAAGAGGCUGAAAACCACACACGAGAAGUCCCGCCGUGUACAUUACUUGCUCUUAAGUUUGGACAAACAUAACUUGCAAAACUUUACAACAAAUAAUUACCCCAAUGUGCAUUCUGAUUAUUUAAAAUAGCUCAAUGAAAUAGUUUAUCCGUGGGCAUGUAACAAAAGUGAAUUCAUUAAAUUUGAACGUGUUGCAAAAAUGAUGUCUUACAGUAUAUUCAUUCUGACUUAGAAUGUCAGAAGAGAAAAAAGUUUGUGAAAAGUAGGAAUGACGGCAAGAUGACAGAAGAAUAGAACAGGAUAGAGCAAGGGGGACAGAUAAAGGACAAGUCCACCCCAAAAAUUGUUGAUAUGAAUAAAAAGAGAAAAAUCCAACAAGCAUAACACUGAAAAUUUGAUAAAAAAUCGGAUGUAAAAUAAAAAAGUUAUGACAUUUAAAAAUUUUGCUAAAUUUUACAAAAGAGUUAUAUGCACAUUCUGUACACAGUCAGUAUGCAAAUGAGGAGACUGAUGACGUCAUCCACUCACUAUUUCAUUUGAUAUAUAGAAUAAGGUAUAUUCUAAUUUUCUCCUUGUCAUGUUAAACAAAAUUUUAUUCCUCCCUGAUCAUGUGGAAUUAGCAUUAUUCAAUACUUUUUUGGUUCAGUAAAGUUUGUCCUUAUGGUAAAAUCUGUAAAAAAUGAAAUAUUGUAUAAUUCAAACAAUAAAAAACAAAAUA
This is a long non-coding RNA of Lytechinus pictus (painted urchin), 1272 nucleotides long. RefSeq lists it as uncharacterized. The record is from RefSeq and is a predicted model, not a curated record. NCBI's taxonomy places the organism in Eukaryota, Metazoa, Echinodermata, Echinoidea, Temnopleuroida, Toxopneustidae. The transcript is spliced from 3 exons.